GACGAACGCUGGCGGCGUGCUUAACACAUGCAAGUCGAACGGAAAGGCCCUGCUUUUGUGGGGUGCUCGAGUGGUGAACGGGUGAGUAACACGUGAGUAACCUGCCCUUGACUUUGGGAUAACUUCAGGAAACUGGGGCUAAUACCGGAUAGGAGCUCCUGCUGCAUGGUGGGGGUUGGAAAGUUUCGGCGGUUGGGGAUGGAAUCGCGGCUUAUCAGCUUGUUGGUGGGGUAGUGGCUUACCAAGGCUUUGACGGGUAGCCGGCCUGAGAGGGUGACCGGACACAUUGGGACUGGGAUACGGCCCAGACUCCUACGGGAGGCAGCAGUGGGGAAUAUUGCACAAUGGGCGGAAGCCUGAUGCAGCAACGCCGCGUGCGGGAUGACGGCCUUCGGGUUGUAAACCGCUUUCGCCUGUGACGAAGCGUGAGUGACGGUAAUGGGUAAAGAAGCACCGGCUAACUACGUG
Molecule: ribosomal RNA, 468 nt
Filed under: uncultured bacterium
Lineage: Bacteria
Description: partial 16S ribosomal RNA
Rfam family: Bacterial small subunit ribosomal RNA
Source: RNAcentral